GAUUGGGGCAUCUGGCUGCACCAUCUGUCACCCCAUUGAUGGCUCCAGGGUUGAUCUGGCUGAUCUGGCUGGCCAGGUGGGUAUACCCUUCCUCCCUCACCACUCUUGUGCAUCCCUCUGGAAACUGCAUGCUUGGUUGAAGAGGACGACCAUCCCUGAUAGAGGAGGACUGGUCUUCAGUCAAGGGUACACAAGUAGCUGCACUCCCCUGCUAGAACCUCCAAACAAGCUCUCGAGGGCAAUAAAAUAUUUUUAAACUAAGUCAUGUACAUUGUUUUUUAGACAUAAUGCUACUGUAUGUUUAACAGA
Molecule: small nuclear RNA, 309 nt
Filed under: Saimiri boliviensis boliviensis (Bolivian squirrel monkey)
Lineage: Eukaryota; Metazoa; Chordata; Mammalia; Primates; Cebidae
Description: 7SK RNA (ENSSBOG00000002568.1)
Rfam family: 7SK RNA
About the family: 7SK was discovered as an abundant small nuclear RNA in the mid-70s but a possible function has only recently been suggested. Two independent studies have found that 7SK RNA binds the CDK9/cyclin T complex (known as elongation factor P-TEFb). P-TEFb activates transcription by phosphorylating the C-terminal domain of RNA polymerase II.
Source: RNAcentral